AGGGUGUAAACGCUGCAGACUUGGUGUUGGGAACCCUUCGGGGGUGCUCAGUGCCGGAGAGAAGUUGUUAAGUCUGCUACUUGGGGAGUACGUCCGCAAGGAUGAAACUUAAAGGAAUUGGCGGGGGAGCACCGCAACGGGAGGAGCGUGCGGUUUAAUUGGAUUCAACACCGUAAACUCACCAGGGAAGACUGUUACAUGAAGGCCGAGAUGAAGACUCUGCUAGAUUUUUCAGAGAGGAGGUGCAUGGCGUCAGUGACU
This 261-nucleotide ribosomal RNA is filed under the name uncultured archaeon. Its description in RNAcentral is "partial 16S ribosomal RNA". It matches the Rfam family "Archaeal small subunit ribosomal RNA", at positions 748 to 1008 of the family's 1478-position model. The record is from RNAcentral.